GAUGAAGAACGUAGCAAAAUGCGAUAAGUAAUGUGAAUUGCAGAAUUCAGUGAAUCAUCGAAUCUUUGAACGCACAUUGCGCCCGCCAGUAUUCUGGCGGGCAUGCCUGUUCGAGCGUCAUUUCAACCCUCAAGCACAGCUUGGUGUUGGGACUCGCGUUAAUUCGCGUUCCCCAAAUUGAUUGGCGGUCACGUCGAGCUUCCAUAGCGUAGUAGUAAAACCCUCGUUACUGGUAAUCGUCGCGGCCACGCCGUUAAACCCCAACUUCUGAAUGUUGACCUCGGAUCAGGUAGGAAUACCCGCUGAACUUAAGCACAUCAAUAAGCGGAGGA
RNAcentral lists this unclassified non-coding RNA (332 nucleotides) under soil metagenome. RNAcentral describes it as "partial contains 5.8S ribosomal RNA, internal transcribed spacer 2, and large subunit ribosomal RNA". The stretch from base 1 to 120 matches the Rfam family "5.8S ribosomal RNA", at positions 35 to 154 of the family's 154-position model. The record is from RNAcentral.